UCACGUCAUCCCCACCUUCCUCACGGUUUACACCGGCAGUUUUGUUAGAGUCCCCGGCUUUACCCGUUGGCAACUAACAAUAGGGGUUGCGCUCGUUAUAGGACUUAACCAAACACUUCACAGCACGAACUGAAGACAACCAUGCAGCACCUUGUAUUACGUCUUAUAGACUAAGUUGUUUCCAGCUUAUUCGUAAUACAUUUAAGCCUUGGUAAGGUUCCUCGCGUAUCAUCGAAUUAAACCACAUGCUCCACCGCUUGUGCGAAACCCCGUCAAUUCCUUUGAGUUUCAAUCUUGCGAUCGUACUUCCCAGGUGGAUCACUUAUCGCUUUAACUUAGCCACUGAAUAUAGUUUUUCCAAUAGCUAGUGAUCAUAGUUUAGGGCAGUGGACUACCAGGG
Molecule: unclassified non-coding RNA, 400 nt
Filed under: uncultured fungus
Lineage: Eukaryota; Fungi
Description: sequence contains ITS1
Source: RNAcentral